Molecule: ribosomal RNA, 933 nt
Filed under: Pseudocercospora sambucigena
Lineage: Eukaryota; Fungi; Ascomycota; Dothideomycetes; Mycosphaerellales; Mycosphaerellaceae
Description: LSU rRNA
Rfam family: Eukaryotic large subunit ribosomal RNA
Source: RNAcentral
CUACCCCCGCUUUGACUUAAGCAUAUCAAUAAGCGGAGGAAAAGAAACCAACAGGGAUUGCCCUAGUAACGGCGAGUGAAGCGGCAACAGCUCAAAUUUGAAAUCUGGCGCAAGCCCGAGUUGUACUUUGUAGAGGAUGCUUCUGGGUAGCGGCCGGUCUAAGUUCCUUGGAACAGGACGUCAUAGAGGGUGAGAAUCCCGUAUGUGACUGGCUUGCACCCUCCACGUAGCUCCUUCGACGAGUCGAGUUGUUUGGGAAUGCAGCUCUAAAUGGGAGGUAAAUUUCUUCUAAAGCUAAAUACCGGCCAGAGACCGAUAGCGCACAAGUAGAGUGAUCGAAAGAUGAAAAGCACUUUGGAAAGAGAGUUAAACAGCACGUGAAAUUGUUGAAAGGGAAGCGCCCGCAACCAGACUUUGCGGCAGUGUUCGGCCGGUCUUCUGACCGGUUUACUCGCUGUCGUGAGGCCAUCAUCGUCUGGGACCGCUGGAUAAGACCUUAGGAAUGUAGCUCCCCUCGGGGAGUGUUAUAGCCUCUGGUGAUGCAGCGCGUCUCGGGCGAGGUCCGCGCUCCGGCAAGGAUGAUGGCGUAAUGGUUGUCGGCGGCCCGUCUUGAAACACGGACCAAGGAGUCUAACAUCUAUGCGAGUGUUCGGGUGUCAAACCCCUACGCGUAAUGAAAGUGAACGGAGGUGGGAACUUUUUGUGCACCAUCGACCGAUCCUGAUGUCCUCGGAUGGAUUUGAGUAAGAGCAUAGCUGUUGGGACCCGAAAGAUGGUGAACUAUGCCUGAAUAGGGUGAAGCCAGAGGAAACUCUGGUGGAGGCUCGCAGCGGUUCUGACGUGCAAAUCGAUCGUCAAAUUUGGGUAUAGGGGCGAAAGACUAAUCGAACCAUCUAGUAGCUGGUUUCCUGCCGAAGUUCCCCUUCAGGAAAU